CUGUCGUUGGCUUUUGGUUUUGGUUUUUCCUAUUGUUUAACAGACUCCUUCCUGGCGAGCCCCUAGGAAGCGGCUGUCAUGGCGGCUCUCUGUUGUCCGGAGGAUUCAGGGAAGGUCCCAGGGCAAAAGGUUUCCCUGGGCUGGCUGUCCCCACUCCUGGGAGGGAAGCCGGGUACGUCGGUCCUGCUGAGACUGUGGCCCCCUAGUACAACCUCUGGAUGCUCUGCCAGUUUGGUUUCAAUCCGCUUGGCAGGCAGUUCUGAGAACUUACAUUAAACUUAGACCCCGCAACCUUGAACCAAGAUGCUGGGGGCCAGGACUUGUUGACCAGUUGCCCAUAAACUGUGCUUUCAGGAAUAAGGGAGGAGGGGCCAGGAUUCUAGAGUACAAGGCUCUUAGGACCACGUGUUCUUUGUUUAAAGAGCAAACCCCACUCUUCCUUAGGUCCUGGAAUCUCCUGGAUGCAGAUGGUUCCAAGCUCUGGAACGGUUUCUCCCACCUCCAUUUCGCAGGAAAAUUAAACCCCAUUGCCAAGGGCUCUGUUGGCGACGUCGAAUAAACUCACUCUGCAGGCUUCAUUUUCCCCUGGGAAAUUCAGAUCCACACCUGCCUCCCUCGGUCUUUAGGCCUGGGAGUACCUCCAGCUAUGUGAGCGUGUUCGCCUGCCUGCUUGCUCCCAGGGCAGCGUGAGGCCCCGGCGUCCACUCAUCCCCAGGCUGGCUAUCAGUUAGCCUGGAGUCAGAUUUGGGUCUUUGGUAUCUCUGUAGUAAAACUUCAAGGACGACUAAGAAAGCCAAAGGUCAGGGACUCGGCUGCACUUCCUUUGCAGCCCAGAGGGUGAGCUAGACUGGAGCGCAGAAAAGCACUGUUGAGGAGAAUGUAUUACAUGGCUUUGCUCCUUCGGUCCUCAUAAGAAAUACAUAAGGCGGGAGCUGUCACUGAGUCCACUUCACAGAGGGAACCGAACUUGCAGAGGUUAGGGAAGUUUCCCAAAGUAACAGAGAUGGCAACUGGGACGAGUGGGGUCCACAGUAAGGGCCGUCUCCAGGUCUGUGAAGUAAAGCACACCCGUUUUGCAAGACAUGGCUGGGAAGGCAGGGCACCGACGCUUCCCAGGGCUCGCUGCACGUUAGGGCAACAGCUGUGGAACGCCUAGAAGACAGUGGAUGGUUUGGGCCACCAGGGGGCGCGCUAGACCAGCGAAUUGACACAACGUUUGCGGUCCGCUGAGACCCCCACAGCGCUCUGGGAGGUUAGUAAAGCUCAGGAGCUGCCUUUUAAGAUGGAUCGAGGGUUGAACAAAGAUGGAGGUGAGCUUGGUUCGAUGUGACCGCCGGGAGCUAGAGGCAGGGCAUCAUAUGCAGGGAGCUCUGAGAUCCGUGCGUUCCAUCCUGGCCGGCCAGCCUGUGGCUCCUCCUCCUCACCCCCGCCGCCCGCCAUCCUGGGGAGUUUUCGGAGCCUGCGGAGCGGGCGUCCUGCCGAAACCUGAGACGGGAGCCCUGGUUCUGCCUCGCCCUCCACCCGCGAAGGGGGCAACCGUACAAAGGGGAAAUGCCGCGGGGCUCUGAUUUGCGCCGAGCUGCUCCAGGCCGGCGCUGACCACUGCCUCCAGGAUCCAGCUUUCUCAAGGCUCAGCCUCUUCAGGGUAAUUCAAGGAAGACUGGAGAGGGGGGACAAGAUGGAAAGGUGCCCACUUUUGUUGCCUUUUUUCUGAGUCCACUGGCGAGACAGCAGAUCAGAGAAGUAACUGCUCAACAGAAACCCCAGCGCCCAGCGAGACAGGGAGCCACGUGCGGAGCUGUUGACUUCAGCAUGGCCACGGAGCUGUGAUACGAUUGGGACUUGUCACGGCAGGGCGUGGGAGUGAGCCUGUGACUAACGCCCGGCGGUGUGACGCCGCGCUGGGGCUCUGCGAACCGCAGUCCGGCUGGCUAGCUGCUCCUUGUUGGGCUCCGCCAAGAUGGGGCGCCAGAGCAGGACCAGCCCUCUCCCGCCGGAGGACCGCCUUCCGGUCAGCAUCUCCCCCGAUCGCCUCUUCACUGGGGACUUCCCCUGGCCGGGCCUUGUCUGGCGGCCGGCCCUGAACCUGAUCUGCCGUUUCUGGCUCCGGAGCCAGCCCCCUGCGAGCCUCCAGCGCGAGCCGCAGCCCGGCUCCUGGCUGGGGUCCGGGCCUGUGUGGCUCCCCCUCCUGUGUCCCAGGGCUGAUCAGCGCAGCCUCUUCUUGUUGCGCCCGCAACCCAAGAUGGGCGCAGCUGCUUCUGCUGUCGCUGCCCUGAUGGGACCUGAGGGUUCCCUGUCUGUCCUUCCAGGUCUUCAGUAGCAGUCACAGCUCCUUCUGUUCAACUCUGCAUUGCAGUAACCACAAUCGUUUCUUUCUCUGAUUGAUACACCUUCUACUCCGAAGCCUGACAGGCCAUCAAAACUGCAGAUAAUUUGGGCUUCAGGCGUAAACGGGAGGAAAUGUAAAAAGGGCUAGGCCUGGACUGGACGUGGGGUCGCAGGGGUCUGUGGAGCUGGCAUUCAUCACAGAGUAAGGGAAGAAGGGCAAAAACCUGGAGGCCCAGAGGCAGCCUUCGGCAGGUCAGGCCUGGCCCACCAAGAGCGACAUCACCUCCUUCCUCGGGCCAGGCGGAGGGUGCCAAUUCUCACAGCCAUAGCCUUCCCUUUGUGGGCCUUUUUCUUCCUCAGUAUUAACCCGUUCUCUUCCCCUAGUAGAGGCUCCUUGGGAAAUUCUCUAUGGGUCACAUUCCCACUAAACAUAAAUGACUGAUAGAACUUCAAUACAUCAUGGAGAAAUUUGCAUGGUCAGAACUACCACCAUGGCUAAAAUCCCAAACACUGACCACACCAAGUGCAGACAAGGAUGUGGAGCAACAGGAAUUCUCACUUAUUGCUGGUGGAAAUGCAAAGUGAUACAGAUGCCUUGGAAGGGAGUUUGCUGGUUUCUUACAAAACUAAACAUACUCUUCCCACGUGACCCAGCAGUGGUGCUCCUUGGCAUUUACCCAAAUGAUUUGAAAACUUAUGUCCACACGAAAACCCUCCCCCAAGUGUUUAUAGCAGCUUUGUUCAUAAUUGCCAAAGUUUAGAAGUCACCAAGACAUCCUUCAAACACUGAAUGGAUGAAUAGACUGUGGUGCAUUUAUACAAGGGAAUAUUAUUCAGUGGUCAAAAGAAAUGAGCUCUCAAGCCACAAAAAGACAUGGAGGGAACUUUAAAUGCACAAUACUAAGUGAAAGGAGCCAAAAAAGGCUGCAUACUGCCUGAUUCCAACCACGUGACAUUCUGAUAAAGGCCAAACUGUGGCGACCAUAAAAGGAUGGGCGGGUGCCAG
Equus caballus (horse) is the source of this 3334-nucleotide long non-coding RNA. The record is from Ensembl. Lineage: Eukaryota; Metazoa; Chordata; Mammalia; Perissodactyla; Equidae.